GCCAGCUUAGCUCAGGGGUUAGAGCACUGGUCUUGUAAACCAGGGGUCGGGAGUUCAAUUCUCCCAGUUGGCU
Molecule: transfer RNA, 73 nt
Organism: Tropilaelaps mercedesae
Lineage: Eukaryota; Metazoa; Arthropoda; Arachnida; Mesostigmata; Laelapidae
Rfam family: tRNA
About the family: Transfer RNA (tRNA) molecules are approximately 80 nucleotides in length.
Source: Rfam